AGUAAAAUAAUAAACUGGGCAUGGUGACGCACACAUUUGUAGACCCAGGAAAAACCAGCCACCAUGUUGUAAGGAUGCUCAAGUAGCACUAUGGAGAUUCACACGUGGCAAAGAGCUGAGGCCUCCCACCAACAGCCACAUGAGGGAGCCAGAGUAGGAGUGGCUCCUCCAGCCCCAGUCGAACCUUCAGAUGUGACAGACUUGGCUGCUGACAGUUUGCAAUCUCAUGAGACCCUGAGCCAGAACCACCCAGCUAAAUCAGUCCUGGACUCCUGAUCAACAGAA
This 285-nucleotide long non-coding RNA is filed under the name Homo sapiens (human). RNAcentral describes it as "non-protein coding lnc-SMIM24-2:3". The record is from RNAcentral. Lineage: Eukaryota; Metazoa; Chordata; Mammalia; Primates; Hominidae.